This is a long non-coding RNA of Callithrix jacchus (white-tufted-ear marmoset), 535 nucleotides long. RefSeq lists it as uncharacterized. The record is from RefSeq and is a predicted model, not a curated record. NCBI's taxonomy places the organism in Eukaryota, Metazoa, Chordata, Mammalia, Primates, Cebidae.
CCAGAAACAACUUGCUAAGGGGGCCCUCGGAGCACGUGAGCCUGAGGGAGGGCGGGUACGGGCUUGGAGGUGGUGCGACCAAGCGGAGCUGUUCAGCUUGCCCUGGAAACCACCAUUUUACUUUCUGUCGCUACAAGUUUGACUACUCUGGGGACCUCAUUUUAGAGAAUGGCACUGGCUUCGCAGAGGAAGGUGCAUUGGAAACAGCUAAUACAGAAGACAGGGAAAACAGGAGGAAAGCAGGCCACAGGUAGGAAAGCAAUGAUAUUGCUGGAACAAAGGUUUUGUGCGUUCAAAAAUUUGAGGGGUAUUGCAAAAUUGUGCUCUAAAGAGGUUAAACCAACUUAACACUUUUCAGUAAAUGUCUGUUUCUACAUACCCUUUGCCAAUUUGAUAGGUGAAAAACUGCACCUCAUUCUGGUUUACAAUUGUUAAUUUCAAGUGAAGUGGACUGUAUCUGCAAAUAUAUAUUGGUAAUCUGUAUUUUUCUUUUGUGAAAGUAUGUUGCUAUCUUUUGCCCAUGUUUUCUAUCAAU